GGCUGGUCUGAAGGUAGUGAGUUAUCUCACUUGAUUGUUCACAGUCAGUUACAGAUUGAACUCCUUGUUCUGCUACUUUCCCUCCUCAGCACUGCACUUGACUAGUCAAAA
Molecule: Y RNA, 111 nt
Filed under: Propithecus coquereli (Coquerel's sifaka)
Lineage: Eukaryota; Metazoa; Chordata; Mammalia; Primates; Indriidae
Description: Y RNA (ENSPCOG00000005317.1)
Rfam family: Y RNA
About the family: Y RNAs are components of the Ro ribonucleoprotein particle (Ro RNP), in association with Ro60 and La proteins. The Y RNAs and Ro60 and La proteins are well conserved, but the function of the Ro RNP is not known.
Source: Rfam by way of RNAcentral